Molecule: ribosomal RNA, 639 nt
Filed under: uncultured bacterium
Lineage: Bacteria
Description: bacterial SSU rRNA
Rfam family: Bacterial small subunit ribosomal RNA
Source: RNAcentral
AUUGAACGCUGGCGGCAUGCUUUACACAUGCAAGUCGAACGGCAGCGCGGGCUUCGGCCUGGCGGCGAGUGGCGAACGGGUGAGUAAUAUAUCGGAACGUACCCAAGAGUGGGGAUAACGUAGCGAAAGUUACGCUAAUACCGCAUACGAUCCAAGGAUGAAAGCAGGGGACCGCAAGGCCUUGUGCUCCUGGAGCGGCCGAUAUCUGAUUAGCUAGUUGGUGAGGUAAAGGCUCACCAAGGCAACGAUCAGUAGCUGGUCUGAGAGGACGACCAGCCACACUGGAACUGAGACACGGUCCAGACUCCUACGGGAGGCAGCAGUGGGGAAUUUUGGACAAUGGGGUCAACCCUGAUCCAGCAAUGCCGCGUGAGUGAAGAAGGCCUCGGGUUGUAAAGCUCUUUUGUCAGGGAAGAAAAGGCUGUGGCUAAUAUCCACAGCUGCUGACGGUACCUGAAGAAUAAGCACCGGCUAACUACGUGCCAGCAGCCGCGGUAAUACGUAGGGUGCAAGCGUUAAUCGGAAUUACUGGGCGUAAAGCGUGCGCAGGCGGUUUCGUAAGUCUGUCGUGAAAAUCCCCGGGUCUUAACCUGGGGAAUGGCGAUGGAGACUGCGAGGCUAGAGUUUGGCAGAGGGGGG